This is a non-coding RNA of Podarcis lilfordi (Lilford's wall lizard), 4319 nucleotides long. Lineage: Eukaryota; Metazoa; Chordata; Lepidosauria; Squamata; Lacertidae. The record is from the annotation of a GenBank genome assembly.
CUUUAUGUUCAGUUAAGAUUGCCAGUUAUGAGGGACCAACUGCCUCGUAUUGUUUCCUGCCUCAGACGUGUCUCAUGUUGUUGUAUUUAGUUUUUCUCAUUAUGUUGCUUUGUUACAGUAUUAUUAUUAUUAUGUGAGCCACUUAAUCAUCAUAACCUCCGAUAAUAGAAUCAGAUUUUAAAAGUAAAAGCUGAACUAAUUUUCUUCAAAAUAUAAGUAAAAUCAGCAGGGGGUUUUUUUAAUAGGCAUUAUAAAAUAGAAUUCAAUGUUAAAAAUAAAAUUACAUGUUAGCAAUACAUGUCAAUAUCUGGGUGGCAGGGUUGCCUAAACAUUCGUAGCAAGCACCAAAAAAUGAUAUUGCAAAGUUAAAGGUAAAGGACCCCUGACAGUUAAGUCCAGUCGCAAAGGAUUCUGGGGUUGUGGUGUUCAUCUUGCUUUACUGGCCGAGGGAGCCGACGUUUGUCCGCAGACAGUUUUUCCGGGUCAUGUGGCCAGCAUGACUAAGCCACUUCUGGCAAAACCAGAGCAGCACAUGGAAACGCCGUUUACCUUCCCGCCAGAGUGGUACCUAUUUAUCUACUUGCACUUUAACGUGCUUUCGAACUGCUAGGUUGGCAGGAGCUGGGACCGAGCAACGGGAGCUCACUCCGUCCCAGGGAUUCGAACCGCCGACCUUCUGAUUGGCAAGCCCUAGGCUCAGUGGUUUAGACCACAGCGCCACCUGCAUCGCUGAUAUUGCAAAAGCCCCUUCCUAAUAUCAAUGGGCAGCAAGUUCCAGAGCAUACAUGCUGCCACACUGAAGGACUGAUUCCUUGAUGGUGCCACUUAUAAGUAUCAGUUCCACAGAUCAAAGCAGUCAAACAACUGUAUAUGGGGUAGGCAUGUAUGAUGAAUGAGCUGCAUGCAUGGAACAAUAGAAUCAGAAUUCUAUAGUUGGAAAGGACCCCAAGUGUCAUCUGGUUCAACCCCCUGAAAUGCAGGAAUAUGCAGGUAGGACUGAACCCGUGACUUCAGCAUUAUCAGCACCAUGCUCUAAUCAUCUGAGCUAAGAUGGAGGUAGGUCAGUAUGAUCCCCUGGGUGCUACCCAAACCAGCAUCAAAAAUCUAGAUUUGAGAGGGUGGAAAACCACAGGAAAGAGGGAUGUGUAACAUUCUGCCAAUGUAUGCAUUCUUCACAAGCCUACAAUCCCCCCCCCCAAAUACUGUGAAAUAUAUCCUACUGAAAUCAAUGGGCCUUACUUCCAAGUAAACAUGAUUAGGAACAGACUGUUAGUCUAUAAUCCUGACAUUCCACAGCAGUCAACGAGAUUUAGGUGUCCAUACCCAACUGUUGGCACAAGAAUUAAUCUGAACACAUUUUUUCUCCUGCUGGUCUGGCUGCUGUCUGGCUCAAAAAGCUUCAGGUUGAUAAUGUAUAUAUUAAAAGUAAAGAGACUGUCAUACACAUUCAGGCAUGCAGCCACAAUGAGUUUGUAAUUAUAUCCAGGAAAUCCCUCUAAAGGCAGCUGGAUGGUGCAUUUUAUUUUUUUUUAAGGAAAGGAGAAAUUGGCCCACUUGAAAUUAAAUCACUACAUUCUGAAUAUGUCCAAGAAAAUACAAUACAACGGCCCUGUAAGCCUUCCUCUCAUAUUAAAUUUGCUGCUACUGGUGCCAACUGGAUCAAACAAAAAUUUGGAAAGGUGUACUCUAAAAGUAGCCAAAUCCCAUUCUCUCUUAAUUACGAGGCUUGCAUGUUGGGAUGCUGUACUAAAUCAUUCUCGCCCAGAUGUAUUAUAAUUAUACUGGUGAAUUAGCCUUAUGCUGAGUAACAUCAUGUACCAUAGGUAAUAAUCAGUCCCCUGAGCUCAUCCAUUCUACUCAUUUGCUCCCUUAUGUUCAUGAGAAAGGGCUAUCUUUGGAUUGUUAAUUAUUAUUUUCUUUUUUCUUUUUUUAGGAAACUCCUGGUUCUCUUACAGGAAACACACACACAGUUCUUUUCAGAGCUGAGAAAUAGGUAGCCAGGAGCUGUGAACAUGGAGCUAGAAGUCACUGCCAAUGAAGAUUAGUAUUUCUGGGGCAAGUUGCAACCUGAAUAGGAUACAUCGAAACCCUUCUAGCUGAGGAUAGCCAAUGGUCUGGGUGGAGGAAGUCAUUCCGUGAUGCAGCAACCCAUUACCAGCAAUGACUCACCACACAUGGCACCUGCACAGUGACAUUUCCCCAUUUCCAACUUUCUGUGAAACUUUCCCAAGAUUACAUCAUACUCACAUAUGACCAAGAAAUGGAGCUGGGGAUGGAGCUAUGCAGACAACAGAACAUGAAAAAUCAAGCACUAUAUUUGAGGAUAGCAUUGAUACUGGCUGUUGUGUCCUAACAUCAAGCAAAAUUCUACUGGGCACGGUGGGGCACCAAGAUAUGCGGCACCAAGAUAUGCGGGCCAGAUUUGUAUCACCUUGGAGUAUUCCAAAUGACCAACUUUCUCUGAAGAAGCUGGAGGCUGACUGGCUGCCUGCUUUUCAUAACAUGAACCGGGCACAUUUUUAGAAGGACGGCUGCAGUAGAUUUGCCACACGGACAGGGUGCACCCAUUUCUCCCACCUACUCCAUUCACUAUUGAAAAAUGGCAAAGUGGGUGAAAUUUGCAGGCCUCUCCACAGUGGAUAAAACCUGCUAAAUGGCUAGCCUCGAGUUUUGUGGGUAUUUGACCUGCAAAUUGUAAACAUAAGAGAAGUGCCUUUAAGUAAAACAAGAACAACUUUCAAACUGCAGACAAAUAGGACCAGGGCCAUAUAUCCUAGUCACAUUUAAAUAUGUUUUUGGGUGGGAAUAGCUACAAAGGGAUGAACUUCAUGGGUUAAAUAAUUUCCUCUGAUUACAAGCUAGACCUGUAACUUGUGAAAUGCUUCCCCAUUCUAGUAUCUUCCCAAAGCACAGAGACAUAAAUUUCACUCUUGCAAAUCUUUUAUUCUCCUCCCCCCGCCCCCAAGCGCUGGGAUUGGAAAAUACUGGUAAAUUAUUUCCCUCUGAUUACAAGCUAGACCUGUUAGUCACAAAGGAGUCUCUCCCCUCACCCCACAAUCCUUGCAUUUACCUUUAGAGGGAGACUUGAGUUUCAAACUUAAAUUAUCUGAAUCUAAUGAAUACCCUUACUAUUUUUAUCUAGUAUAGAGGGGGAAACCAAUUGGUUUCACUCUGAAAAAGUGUAACAAAACUGUAGCACACAGACACACCUCAAACUGGGCAGAAUGUGACAGUCCUCAGAGACCAACUCCCCCCCCCCAAUCUGCUAAAUCUUUAGGGCUCAUUGGCACAAAUUCCAAUUACUUUAUUUUGAAUAGAACUGUAAACACCCAUGAAUGAUAAACAGAUAUGCUUACCCUAUGGAAAUAUAUGGAGCAGCCCACACAUAGUAUAGUUCUACUGCAUGGAUGAGAGAAACACCUGUGGCAUCUCUGAACUAGGUCAUUUAUAUGUGUGUGGGUGCACCCCUAAUUUCAAGUCUUUGUGUAUGUAUUUUAUAAAGAAAAUAUAUAUUGCUCCUAGCAAAAGAGAUAUAGACAUAUAUUAAAACAGUCUGACAUUCAUCUUCUAAGCCUUUAGAAUAUCUCAGGGUUUCUGACACAGCACCUGUCAGAAUAUAAAUAUCAAAACUAGUGAUCAAAAAUUGCUUCUUUUUUCAACAGAGCAUUAACAAUAUAUCAUAAUGGGAGAACCUAUUCCCACACACUUUUAUAAUCAAGCAUCAUAUUCAGUUCAGGUGCUUUUUCUGCUACAGUGUCAGGAGCUGGAGUCAGGUGUAGGUCAGCAAUAAAACACCCGAAACCAGUGAAGUUAAUGCUUUAUUCAAAGAAACAAAACAGCUCAGUCCUAGUGGUCACAGCAACCUUUCUCAGUAGGUUUUGGCCCAAUGAAGCAGUUGCGAGGACUGAAGUUCCCUGCCUUCCCACCGCCCUCUAAGGCUCCCCCCCCCCCAGGUUCCUUCCCCAGCAGCCUAAAGCUCCUUCUUGUUGCUCUGCCACCUUCAUUUCUUUGCAUGUUCUGGAAGACUGGGGAGAGGGAGCUAGUCACAGCUGGAGGAGGAGACUCCCUGGAUUCUUCAGCAGCCUGCCUCCACUCUGCCUUUUCGUCCCUCUCUGCUUCUGCCUCUAAAUCUGGACUGCUCUCUGCCACAGCCUCUUCCUGCUCACUAAACCCUGUUACUGCUUCAGUUUCUGACACCUCCUCCUGCCAGUCUUCUGCAUCUUCUCCAUCUGACACCCCUCCCCAUUGUUGUCCCACCACCAAUCUCAUAGCUCUGAACCUUCUUCCCCUGGGGAUUCCCCAGCUGGUGCCUCUCACCA